Molecule: ribosomal RNA, 406 nt
Filed under: uncultured bacterium
Lineage: Bacteria
Description: partial 16S ribosomal RNA
Rfam family: Bacterial small subunit ribosomal RNA
Source: RNAcentral
AUUGAACGCUGGCGGCAGGCCUAACACAUGCAAGUCGAACGAGUGGCGGACGGGUGAGUAAUGUCUGGGAAACUGCCUGAUGACGGUGGAUAACUACUGGAAACGGUCGCUAAUACAGCAUACCAUCAGAUGUUCCCAGAUGGGAUUAGCUGGUUGGUGGGGUAACGGCUCACCAAGGCGACGAUCCCUAGCUGGUCUGAGAGGAUGACCAGCCACACUGGAACUGAGACACGGUCCAGACUCCUACGGGAGGCAGCAGGGGGGAAUAUUGCCGAAUGGGCGAAAGCCGGAUGCAGCCAUGCCGCGUGUAUUAAGAAGGCCUUCGGGUUGUAAAGUACUUUCAGCGGGGAGGCGUUACCCGCAGAAGAAGCACCGGCUAACUCCGUGCCAGCAGCCGCGGUAAUAC